Molecule: ribosomal RNA, 323 nt
Filed under: uncultured Actinomycetes bacterium
Lineage: Bacteria; Bacillati; Actinomycetota; Actinomycetes
Description: bacterial SSU rRNA
Rfam family: Bacterial small subunit ribosomal RNA
Source: RNAcentral
GACGAACGCUGGCGGCGUGCUUAACACAUGCAAGUCGAACGGUGAAGAGAAGCUUGCUUCUUGGAUCAGUGGCGAACGGGUGAGUAACACGUGAGUAACCUGCCCUUGACUCUGGGAUAAGCACUGGAAACGGUGUCUAAUACCGGAUACGAGCUUCAGCCGCAUGGCUAGGAGUUGGAAAGAAUUUCGGUCAAGGAUGGACUCGCGGCCUAUCAGCUAGUUGGUGAGGUAAUGGCUCACCAAGGCGACGACGGGUAGCCGGCCUGAGAGGGUGACCGGCCACACUGGGACUGAGACACGGCCCAGACACCUACGGGUGGCAG